Molecule: ribosomal RNA, 459 nt
Filed under: uncultured bacterium
Lineage: Bacteria
Description: partial 16S ribosomal RNA
Rfam family: Bacterial small subunit ribosomal RNA
Source: RNAcentral
CCUACGGGAGGCUGCAGUGAGGAAUAUUGGUCAAUGGUCGGGAGACUGAACCAGCCAAGCCGCGUGAGGGAUGAAGGUACAGAGUAUCGUAAACCUCUUUUGUCAGGGAACAAAGGCGGGGACGUGUCCCCGGAUGAGUUUACCUGAAGAAAAAGCAUCGGCUAACUCCGGGCCAGCAGCCGCGGUAAUACGGAGGAUGCGAGCUUUAUCCGGAUUUAUUGGGUUUAAAGGGUGCGCAGGCGGUCUGUUAAGUCAGCGGUAAAAGCCCGGGGCUCAACCCCGGCCCGCCGUUGAAACUGGCAGUCUCGAGUUGGAGAGAAGUAUGCGGAAUGCGCGGUGUAGCGGUGAAAUGCAUAGAUAUCGCGCAGAACUCCGAUUGCGAAGGCAGCAUGCCGGCUCCACACUGACGCUGAGGCACGAAAGCGUGGGUAUCGAACAGGAUUAGAUACCCUUGUAGUC